This 468-nucleotide ribosomal RNA is filed under the name uncultured bacterium. RNAcentral's name for it is "partial 16S ribosomal RNA". It matches the Rfam family "Bacterial small subunit ribosomal RNA", at positions 28 to 507 of the family's 1533-position model. The record is from RNAcentral.
GACGAACGCUGGCGGCGUGCUUAACACAUGCAAGUCGAACGCAAAGGCCCUGCUUUUGUGGGGUGCUCGAGUGGCGAACGGGUGAGUAACACGUGAGUAACCUGCCCUUGACUUUGGGAUAACUUCAGGAAACUGGGGCUAAUACCGGAUAGGAGCUCCUGCUGCAUGGUGGGGGUUGGAAAGUUUCGGCGGUUGGGGAUGGACUCGCGGCUUAUCAGCUUGUUGGUGGGGUAGUGGCUUACCAAGGCUUUGACGGGUAGCCGGCCUGAGAGGGUGACCGGCCACAUUGGGACUGAGAUACGGCCCAGACUCCUACGGGAGGCAGCAGUGGGGAAUAUUGCACAAUGGGCGGAAGCCUGAUGCAGCAACGCCGCGUGCGGGAUGACGGCCUUCGGGUUGUAAACCGCUUUCGCAUGUGACGAAGCGUGAGUGACGGUAAUGGGUAAAGAAGCACCGGCUAACUACGUG